UAGGGAAUCUUCCGCAAUGGACGCAAGUCUGACGGAGCAACGCCGCGUGAGUGAAGAAGGAUUUCGGUUCGUAAAACUCUUUUGUUAGAGAAGAACAGCGCAUAGAGUAACUGUUAUGCGUGUGACGGUAUCUAACCAGAAAGCCACGGCUAACUACGUGCCAGCAGCCGCGGUAAUACGUAGGUGGCAAGCGUUGUCCGGAUUUAUUGGGCGUAAAGCGAGCGCAGGCGGUCAAUUAAGUCUGAUGUGAAAGCCCCCGGCUCAACCGGGGAGGGUCAUUGGAAACUGGUUGACUUGAGUGCAGAAGAUGAGAGUGGAAUUCCAUGUGUAGCGGUGAAAUGCGUAGAUAUAUGGAGGAACACCAGUGGCGAAGGCGACUCUCUGGGCUGUAACUGACGCUGAGGCUCGAAAGCGUGGGUAGCAAACAGG
RNAcentral lists this ribosomal RNA (429 nucleotides) under Bacteroidota bacterium. RNAcentral's name for it is "Bacteroidetes bacterium partial 16S ribosomal RNA". It matches the Rfam family "Bacterial small subunit ribosomal RNA", at positions 355 to 776 of the family's 1533-position model. Lineage: Bacteria; Pseudomonadati; Bacteroidota. The record is from RNAcentral.